Molecule: ribosomal RNA, 497 nt
Filed under: uncultured bacterium
Lineage: Bacteria
Description: partial 16S ribosomal RNA
Rfam family: Bacterial small subunit ribosomal RNA
Source: RNAcentral
GAUGAACGCUGGCGGCGUGCCUAAUACAUGCAAGCCGAGCGAACAGACGAGGAGCUUGCUCCUCUGACGUUAGCGGCGGACGGGUGAGUAGCACGUGGAUAACCUACCUAUAAGACUGGGAUAACUUCGGGAAACCGGAGCUAAUACCGGAUAAUAUAUUGAACCGCAUGGUUCAAUAGUGAAAGACGGUUUUGCUGUCACUUAUAGAUGGAUCCGCGCCGCAUUAGCUAGUUGGUAAGGUAACGGCUUACCAAGGCGACGAUGCGUAGCCGACCUGAGAGGGUGAUCGGCCACACUGGAACUGAGACACGGUCCAGACUCCUACGGGAGGCAGCAGUAGGGAAUCUUCCGCAAUGGGCGAAAGCCUGACGGAGCAACGCCGCGUGAGUGAUGAAGGUCUUCGGAUCGUAAAACUCUGUUAUUAGGGAAGAACAAAUGUGUAAGUAACUAUGCACGUCUUGACGGUACCUAAUCAGAAAGCCACGGCUAACUACGUG